Molecule: ribosomal RNA, 301 nt
Filed under: uncultured bacterium
Lineage: Bacteria
Description: partial 16S ribosomal RNA
Rfam family: Bacterial small subunit ribosomal RNA
Source: RNAcentral
CAGCCGCCGCGGUAAUACGUAGGUGGCAAGCGUUGUCCGGAAUUAUUGGGCGUAAAGGGCUCGCAGGCGGUUUCUUAAGUCUGAUGUGAAAGCCCCUGGCUCAACCGGGGAGGGUCAUUGGAAACUGGGAAACUUGAGUGCAGAAGAGGAGAGUGGAAUUCCACGUGUAGCGGUGAAAUGCGUAGAGAUGUGGAGGAACACCAGUGGCGAAGGCGACUCUCUGGUCUGUAACUGACGCUGAGGAGCGAAAGCGUGGGGAGCGAACAGGAUUAGAUACCCCUGUAGUCCCUGUCUCUUAUAC